UNCCCCUUUGAUGCUUCUGAGCCUGCAA
Molecule: non-coding RNA, 28 nt
Filed under: Rattus norvegicus (Norway rat)
Lineage: Eukaryota; Metazoa; Chordata; Mammalia; Rodentia; Muridae
Source: RNAcentral